Molecule: non-coding RNA, 24 nt
Filed under: Cricetulus griseus (Chinese hamster)
Lineage: Eukaryota; Metazoa; Chordata; Mammalia; Rodentia; Cricetidae
Source: RNAcentral
CAUGCACACGCUGUAAAUGACGAU